UCGAACUCGUCGGCUUCUGCCAACUGGUUGCCAUCGAGCCAUUGGAUGGCCUGCUCGAUCGCAUCCUCAAUCUUCUUCUUGUCAGCAGCAGCAAGCUUGGAGGCAAUCUUGUCGUCGUUAAUGGUGUUCCUCAUGUUGUAAGCAUAAUUUUCCAGAGCAUUCUUCGAUUCCACCUUCUUUUUAUGCUCCUCGUCUUCUGACUUGUACUUCUCCGCUUCCUGCACCAUCUUCUCAAUCUCCUCCUUGCUGAGCCUACCCUUGUCGUUGGUGAUGGUGAUCUUGUUCUUCUGUCCAGUGGUCUUGUCCUCAGCAGAGACAUUCAAGAUACCAUUGGCGUCAAUGUCGAAGCAAACCGUGAUCUGAGGAACCCCCCUAGGCGCAGGUGGAAUCCCAGAGAGCUCAAAUUUUCCAAGCAGAUUGUUGUCUCUGGUCCGGGUCCUCUCUCCCUCAUAAACCUGGAUCAAGACACCCGGUUGGUUGUCUGAAUAGGUAGAGAACACCUGUUCCUUCUUCGUGGGAAUGGUAGUGUUCCUGGGAAUUAAGACGGUCAUAACUCCUCCAGC
Molecule: long non-coding RNA, 563 nt
Filed under: Musa acuminata (dwarf banana)
Lineage: Eukaryota; Viridiplantae; Streptophyta; Magnoliopsida; Zingiberales; Musaceae
Description: long non-coding RNA (MACU_LNC003938)
Source: RNAcentral